AAACCUCAUCUAUCAUAUACUGAAUAAAAUAGGUAUAUGAGGGAAACCGCCUGAACUGAAACAUCUAAGUAGGGCGAGGAAGAGAAAUCAACCGAGAUUUCCUAAGUAGUGGCGAGCGAACGGGAAAGAGGCCAAACCUGAGGAAGCAAUUCUUCAGGGGUUACGGACUGCAUUUAGUAUUGUUAGAAGAUAGCCGAACACUUUGGGAAAAGUGAUCAGAGAGCGUGAGAGUCGCGUAGGCGAAAUCUGAAAACAGCGAGCAGGAUCCAGAGUACCGCCGGACACGUGAAACCCGGUGGGAAGUCGGGGGGACCACCCUCCAAGCCUAAAUACUACCCAAUGACCGAUAGAGAAUAAGUACUGUGAAGGAAAGGUGAAAAGAACCCCGGGAGGGGAGUGAAAGAGAACCUGAAACCCUGUGCUUACAAGCACAUAGAGCACAUCAAAGUGUGAUAUGGUACCUUUUGUAGAAUGGUCCGGCGAGUUAUGGUAUGCAGCAAGGUUAAGCACUUAAGGUGUGGAGCCGAAGCGAGAGCAAGUCUUAAUAGGGCGACAAGUUGAAUGCCAUAGACCCGAAACCGGGUGACCUAGCCAUGUCCAGGCUGAAGUGGAGGUAAAGCUCCAUGGAGGGCCGAACCGACCCCCGUUGAAAAGGUGGCGGAUGAGGUGUGGCUAGCGGAGAAAUUCCAAUCGAACCCGGAUAUAGCUGGUUCUCCCCGAAAUAGCUUUAGGGCUAGCGUUGUAUAUGAUUACCGGAGGUAAAGCACUGAAUUGGCUAGGGGCCGAGAGGUUACUGAACCAUAUCAAACUAAGAAUGCCGGAUAAUAAAAGUACAGCAGUCAGACUACGUGAGAUAAGUCUCGUGGUCAAAAGGGAAACAGCCCAGACCCACAGCUAAGGUCCCGAAAUACGUUUAAGUGGAGAAGGAUGUGGAGUUGCAUAGACAACCAGGAUGUUGGCUUAGAAGCAGCCACUCAUUAAAAGAGUGCGUAAUAGCUCACUGGUCGAGUGACUCUGCGCCGAAAAUUCAACGGGGCUAAAACGUAUACCGAAGCUUGGGCUUGUACAGCAAUGUACAGGGGUAGGGGAGCGUUGUGUAAGAGGAGAAGUCAUAGCGGAAGCGGUGGUGGAUUUUACACAAGUGAGAAUGCCGGAAUGAGUAGCGAGAAUUAUGUGAGAAUCAUAAUGGCCGAAAGUCUAAGGUUUUAGAAGGAAGGUUCGUCCGCUUCUAGUAAGCCGG
This 1240-nucleotide ribosomal RNA is filed under the name Ruminococcus flavefaciens. RNAcentral describes it as "bacterial LSU rRNA". It matches the Rfam family "Bacterial large subunit ribosomal RNA", at positions 139 to 1387 of the family's 2925-position model. The record is from RNAcentral. Lineage: Bacteria; Bacillati; Bacillota; Clostridia; Eubacteriales; Oscillospiraceae.